Molecule: ribosomal RNA, 305 nt
Filed under: uncultured bacterium
Lineage: Bacteria
Description: bacterial SSU rRNA
Rfam family: Bacterial small subunit ribosomal RNA
Source: RNAcentral
GGUGUCCUACGGGGCGCAGCAGUGAGGAAUAUUGGUCAAUGGGCGCGAGCCUGAACCAGCCAAGUCGCGUGAGGGAAGACGGUCCUAUGGAUUGUAAACCUCUUUUGUCGGGGAGCAAAAGACGCCACGCGUGGCGUUCCGAGAGUACCCGAAGAAAAAGCAUCGGCUGACUCCGUGCCAGCAGCCGCGGUGAUACGGAGGAUGCUAGCGUUAUCCGGAUUUAUUGGGUUUAAAGGGUGCGCAGGCGGAAGAUCAAGUCAGCGGUAAAAUUGAGAGGCUCAACCUCUUCGAGCCGUUGAAACUGG